CAUUUUCAUUUUUUUGGACCAAGGACCUCAAAACAAAAGACCCUAGGCCUCUAACACUUAUGGUUUUCCAGUUAAAAAUGCAUAUCACUUAUAUCAAAUAUAAAAGGGGAAAUAACUCUCAUAUGGAGUCUCCGGAUAGCUUCGGUCAAAAUAAAUCAAAUCAUCCUGAGGAUAUAUCGAGCAAUUUGGUAAAAUAAAUUUGUCGGUUUCUUAUACAGUUGCGAAUAUUAAGCGAUCACAAGAAAAACAGUGUUUGGGGAGAUAACUCUUACAUUGAAAAGAUUUUGGUUACGCGGUGUCAGUUACAAAAGCGUAAUAACUGUUCGAUAUCAUGUACCAUAUGUCUAAGCGACAUCUUGCGAAACAAAAAAACUGUGAAGGAAAAAAAAGUUGGCGGAAGAAAAAAAAAUAAUAAUAAUAAUAAUCAGAAGAAU
RNAcentral lists this long non-coding RNA (434 nucleotides) under Mytilus galloprovincialis (Mediterranean mussel). Lineage: Eukaryota; Metazoa; Mollusca; Bivalvia; Mytilida; Mytilidae. The record is from RNAcentral.